This 254-nucleotide ribosomal RNA is filed under the name uncultured bacterium. RNAcentral's name for it is "partial 16S ribosomal RNA". It matches the Rfam family "Bacterial small subunit ribosomal RNA", at positions 524 to 776 of the family's 1533-position model. The record is from RNAcentral.
UACGGGGGGAGCAAGCGUUGUUCGGAUUUACUGGGCGUAAAGGGCGCGUAGGCGGUCAGCACAAGUCAGUUGUGAAAUCUCCGGGCUUAACUCGGAAAGGUCAACUGAUACUGUGCGACUAGAGUGCGGAAGGGGCAACUGGAAUUCUCGGUGUAGCGGUGAAAUGCGUAGAUAUCGAGAGGAACAUCAGUGGCGAAGGCGGCUGCCUGGCCCAAUACUGACACUCAGGUGCGACAGCGUGGGGAGCAAACAGG